GGUGAACGCUGGCGGCGUGCCUAAUACAUGCAAGUCGAGCGAACAGACGAGGAGCUUGCUCCUCUGACGUUAGCGGCGGACGGGUGAGUAACACGUGGAUAACCUACCUAUAAGACUGGGAUAACUUCGGGAAACCGGAGCUAAUACCGGAUAAUAUAUUGAACCGCAUGGUUCAAUAGUGAAAGACGGUUUUGCUGUCACUUAUAGAUGGAUCCGCGCCGCAUUAGCUAGUUGGUAAGGUAACGGCUUACCAAGGCAACGAUGCGUAGCCGACCUGAGAGGGUGAUCGGCCACACCGGAACUGAGACACGGUCCAGACUCCUACGGGAGGCAGCAGUAGGGAAUCUUCCGCAAUGGGCGAAAGCUUGACGGAGCAACGCCGCGUGAGUGAUGAAGGUCUUCGGAUCGUAAAACUCUGUUAUUAGGGAAGAACAAAUGUGUAAGUAACUAUGCACGUCUUGACGGUACCUAAUCAGAAAGCCACGGCUAACUACGUG
RNAcentral lists this ribosomal RNA (497 nucleotides) under uncultured bacterium. RNAcentral describes it as "partial 16S ribosomal RNA". It matches the Rfam family "Bacterial small subunit ribosomal RNA", at positions 28 to 507 of the family's 1533-position model. The record is from RNAcentral.